GUAAAGCGCGCGUAGGCGGUUUGUUAAGUCAGAUGUGAAAUCCCCGGGCUCAACCUGGGAAUGGCAUUUGAGACUGGCAGGCUAGAGUAUGGUAGAGGUGAGUGGAAUUUCAGGUGUAGCGGUGAAAUGCGUAGAGAUCUGAAGGAACAUCAGUGGCGAAGGCGACUCACUGGGCCAUUACUGACGCUGAGGUGCGAAAGCGUGGGUAGCAAACAGGAUUAGAUACCCUGGUAGUCCACGCCCUAAACGAUGUCAACUAGGUGUAUGGAGAAAAUAUUCUUUGUGUAUCGAAGCUAACGCGAUAAGUUGACCGCCUGGGGAGUACGGUCGCAAGACUAAAACUCAAAUGAAUUGACGGGGGCCCGCACAAGCGGUGGAGCAUGUGGUUUAAUUCGAUGCAACGCGAAGAACCUUACCUGGCCUUGACAUG
This 430-nucleotide ribosomal RNA is filed under the name uncultured bacterium. RNAcentral's name for it is "bacterial SSU rRNA". It matches the Rfam family "Bacterial small subunit ribosomal RNA", at positions 560 to 988 of the family's 1533-position model. The record is from RNAcentral.